UGAAUCUUCCCCAUAUUCGAAUAUCUGAAUGUCAGACUCAAGCUGAUGAUAUAUGAGGUAUGGUCCUCGCUGUAUCAAUCAAGUCCCAUUGAAAUAUUGAAACUUUGUUCAUACAUCUUUGAAUGACCUUUUAUGUGCUGACAAUAUGUUCUGAAAUGAAGAGAUUUUACCCCUGAUGAAGUCUUGGAACAAGAAGAAACGCGUUGGGUUAUUUAUCUAUCUAUUAUCUGAUGUUACCUCCGAAUCUACAAUAAGGAGAAGGAGGAAAUCGUAGUGAUAUAUCUACGCUUUUUCCUCAUCACUACAAACUGAUUGUUCAAAUUGUGCGACAAAUGUAAAUGUAUCAACUCUGUAUACUUAUGAACAUUUG
Molecule: long non-coding RNA, 370 nt
Organism: Pseudophryne corroboree (corroboree frog)
Lineage: Eukaryota; Metazoa; Chordata; Amphibia; Anura; Myobatrachidae
Exons: 3
Source: RefSeq, a predicted model, not a curated record